RNAcentral lists this ribosomal RNA (775 nucleotides) under uncultured Neocallimastigales. RNAcentral describes it as "partial large subunit ribosomal RNA". It matches the Rfam family "Eukaryotic large subunit ribosomal RNA", at positions 26 to 635 of the family's 3401-position model. The record is from RNAcentral. Lineage: Eukaryota; Fungi; Neocallimastigomycota; Neocallimastigomycetes; Neocallimastigales.
CGCAUCUGUGCAUGCAGCAUAUCAAUAAGCGGAGGAAAAGAAACUAACUAAGGAUUCCCUCAGUAACGGCGAGUGAAGCGGGAAGAGCUCAAAUUUGAAAUCUUCAAGGUUUUACCUUGACGAAUUGUAGUUUAAAGAAGUGUUUUCUGUUGAAGUUUUGGUAAAAGUUCUUUGGAAUAGGACAUCAUAGAGGGUGAGAAUCCCGUAUUUGACCAUUAUUUUCAGCUGUGUGAUACACUUUCAAAGAGUCGGAUUGUUUGGGAAUGCAGUCCAAAAUGGGUGGUAAAUUUCAUCUAAAGCUAAAUAUUGGCGAGAGACCGAUAGCGAACAAGUACCGUGAGGGAAAGAUGAAAAGAACUUUGAAAAGAGAGUUAAACAGUACGUGAAAUUGUCAAAAGGGAAGCGUUUGACACCAGUGUUGUUUUCUCGAAAAUCAAUUAAAAAGAGUUAGAUUUUGUUGUGUAUUGACCUUAACAGCUUGCAUUUCAAUUUUCUUGCCUUUUUUAAUGCACUUUUCGUUUAGCAAGUCAACAUCAGUUUCUUUUGUUGUAAAAAGGUCAUUGGAAGGUGGCUUUCUUUUCGGAGAAAGUGUUUAUAGCCUUUGACUCCUGCAAUCGGAGAGACUGAGGUCUGCAGCGUAGAUCCUUCGGGGUUAGAUACAUUUGUGCUAAGUUAUAGCUUUUUAUAGACAACUUGUUGACUAUGAUUAGUCUUGUAGCUUACUCGCUUAUGCUAUUUUACCUACGCUUAGGAUGUUGAUCUGUAGUGCGUGCGC